AUUUCAAGCCUGCCCAUCUAAAGACUGGAGCUCUCCCAUCAGCUCCCUGGAUGCCCAGCCUGCCCACUGCAGAUCAGUCUCCGUAAUCGUAAAUCUUGUGUGAGGUGGAUUGGAAAUUGACAGACUCCAUUUCUGGUAACAGCAAUAGGAAACUGAGCUAUGGAAAGGACCAGGUCUGGUUACGGGUUAGAGCUCAAACUCUCAAUAUACUGAUCAUCCUUUUCUCAAAUGAUGUUGGAGAUGUUCUUCAGCUUUCUUGGAGAUGAAAGGCCUGGAAACUUCUAGAAGAAGCUCCAGAAAUGCCAUUUCAUGGUCCAAGAGAAGGUGAAGGUGCUCUCGCAUACAACUCCUGGUGGCAGCUGCCUUACCAAGAGAGUGACUUCCCCCAUGAGUUACCUCAUCCCAUCACACUUCAGAGAAUA
This is a long non-coding RNA of Mustela lutreola (European mink), 422 nucleotides long. RefSeq lists it as uncharacterized. The transcript is spliced from 3 exons. The record is from RefSeq and is a predicted model, not a curated record. NCBI's taxonomy places the organism in Eukaryota, Metazoa, Chordata, Mammalia, Carnivora, Mustelidae.